UACAGGUUAUAUAUGUUUUGUUCAUCUUAUUCUUAUGUAUAUUUCUUUUAUAAUGCCAUUACACUUACAUUUGGUUAUUUAUUAAUAUAUUAGACUAUCCUAUUUUCAUGAGAUUUGUUGUGGGAACACAUGAAUAGUUGAAUGGCUAAUGAUUUAUUUGUCAUUUAUGGGUCAAAGGUAUGUCAUGAGAUGCAAAUGAAUGACCAAUUUAGUGGUUUUUCUAAUUUUCAUGGACCAGGCAUAAAAGUUGUAUGAAAGAUCAAGAAUGAAGAGUGAAGGUUUUGUUUAAAGGGAUGUUAUGCAAACGAUUUGGGUAGCUCUAUUGUGCGUUCGGUUGUUCAGCCUCAUGCUAACUUAAGGCCACCAAUGCCAGAGAUUGUAUCUAUGUUAUAACAUGGAAGGUGGAAAUGGUCAAAAUGAAUGAGAAAGGAUCUUGGGAAGCCAUCUCUGAUUAUUUCCCUUCUCCACUCGAAACUGAAUCACCCAACUUGACUCAACCUCCAAACUCUUGCAGCAAGGAAAGAGGGAAUGAAAGCAUGGCAGUUAAAAAACACUAAUUGAUUGCAAGGUACCGAUCCGUGUGUUAAUACAAGUAGGCAUUGUUCCACGUUAUCCCAUGCGUUGAUUUGCUUUUUCUAGACGAACAUUUCAAGUAAAUAGUAUGUGUAUGUGAAGAAAGUUUUAAUUUCAAAAUGUUUC
RNAcentral lists this long non-coding RNA (699 nucleotides) under Helianthus annuus (common sunflower). The record is from RNAcentral. Lineage: Eukaryota; Viridiplantae; Streptophyta; Magnoliopsida; Asterales; Asteraceae.